Molecule: ribosomal RNA, 399 nt
Filed under: uncultured bacterium
Lineage: Bacteria
Description: bacterial SSU rRNA
Rfam family: Bacterial small subunit ribosomal RNA
Source: RNAcentral
GGGGAAUAUUACACAAUGGGCGAAAGCCUGAUGCAGCAACGCCGCGUGAGCGAUGAAGGCCUUCGGGUCGUAAAGCUCUGUCCUCAAGGAAGAUAAUGACGGUACUUGAGGAGGAAGCCCCGGCUAACUACGUGCCAGCAGCCGCGGUAAUACGUAGGGGGCUAGCGUUAUCCGGAAUUACUGGGCGUAAAGGGUGCGUAGGCGGUCUUUCAAGCCAGAAGUGAAAGGCUACGGCUCAACCGUAGUAAGCUUUUGGAACUGUAAGACUUGAGUGCAGGAGAGGAGAGUGGAAUUCCUAGUGUAGCGGUGAAAUGCGUAGAUAUUAGGAGGAACACCAGUAGCGAAGGCGGCUCUCUGGACUGUAACUGACGCUGAGGCACGAAAGCGUGGGGAGCAAAC